UCCCUGUUGGUCUAGAGGUUAGGAUUCAGUGCUUGCACCCCUAGGGCCUAGGUUCAAUCCCUGGUCUGGGAA
Molecule: transfer RNA, 72 nt
Organism: Sus scrofa (pig)
Lineage: Eukaryota; Metazoa; Chordata; Mammalia; Artiodactyla; Suidae
Rfam family: tRNA
About the family: Transfer RNA (tRNA) molecules are approximately 80 nucleotides in length. Their secondary structure includes four short double-helical elements and three loops (D, anti-codon, and T loops). Further hydrogen bonds mediate the characteristic L-shaped molecular structure. tRNAs have two regions of fundamental functional importance: the anti-codon, which is responsible for specific mRNA codon recognition, and the 3' end, to which the tRNAs corresponding amino acid is attached (by aminoacyl-tRNA synthetases). tRNAs cope with the degeneracy of the genetic code in two manners: having more than one tRNA (with a specific anti-codon) for a particular amino acid; and 'wobble' base-pairing, i.e. permitting non-standard base-pairing at the 3rd anti-codon position.
Source: Rfam